ACGUACACUCCUACGGGAGGCAGCAGUGGGGAAUUUUGGACAAUGGGCGAAAGCCUGAUCCAGCCAUGCCGCGUGCAGGAUGAAGGCCUUCGGGUUGUAAACUGCUUUUGUACGGAACGAAACGGCCUUUUCUAAUAAAGAGGGCUAAUGACGGUACCGUAAGAAUAAGCACCGGCUAACUACGUGCCAGCAGCCGCGGUAAUACGUAGGGUGCAAGCGUUAAUCGGAAUUACUGGGCGUAAAGCGUGCGCAGGCGGUUAUGUAAGACAGUUGUGAAAUCCCCGGGCUCAACCUGGGAACUGCAUCUGUGACUGCAUAGCUAGAGUACGGUAGAGGGGGAUGGAAUUCCGCGUGUAGCAGUGAAAUGCGUAGAUAUGCGGAGGAACACCGAUGGCGAAGGCAAUCCCCUGGACCUGUACUGACGCUCAUGCACGAAAGCUUGGGGAGCAAACAGGAUUAGAAACCCCUGUAGUCCC
This 476-nucleotide ribosomal RNA is filed under the name uncultured organism. Its description in RNAcentral is "partial 16S ribosomal RNA". It matches the Rfam family "Bacterial small subunit ribosomal RNA", at positions 329 to 797 of the family's 1533-position model. The record is from RNAcentral.